This 404-nucleotide ribosomal RNA is filed under the name uncultured eukaryote. RNAcentral describes it as "partial 18S ribosomal RNA". It matches the Rfam family "Eukaryotic small subunit ribosomal RNA", at positions 641 to 1033 of the family's 1831-position model. The record is from RNAcentral.
AAAAAGAAGGAGAAAGCAACGAGAAAAUAAGAAAUUGUUUUUUCAUUGUUUUUUCUUUCGUUUUUAAUUUAUUUGGUGAAUUGAGGUAAUUGAGUUUGCCUUGUCACCGUAUCACCUUGAACAAAGCAUGUCGCUCAAAAUGGGGUCUUCAGACAAGGAGUGUUGAGCAUGGAAUGAGAGAAUAUGAGAAGGAAAAAAAAGAAGAGAGUGAUCUUGGAGGUUUUUCUUUCUAAUGGCAAAUGGGAAUUAUAGGAGGAAGUUCGUAUUAUAAAGCUAGAGGUGAAAUUCUUGGAUUUUUAUUAAGACGAACUAAGGCGAAGGCAUUCUUCAACGGAAUAUCGUCGAUCAAGAACGAUAGAAGGGGGAGUCGAAGACGAUCAGAUAACCGUCGUAGUCUCUUCAGU